RNAcentral lists this ribosomal RNA (150 nucleotides) under uncultured bacterium. Its description in RNAcentral is "partial 16S ribosomal RNA". It matches the Rfam family "Bacterial small subunit ribosomal RNA", at positions 357 to 504 of the family's 1533-position model. The record is from RNAcentral.
GAGGAUAUUGGUCAAUGGACGAGAGUCUGAACCAGCCAAGUAGCGUGAAGGAUGACUGCCCUAUGGGUUGUAAACUUCUUUUAUACGGGAAUAAAGUGAGGCACGUGUGCCUUUUUGUAUGUACCGUAUGAAUAAGGAUCGGCUAACUCC